Molecule: ribosomal RNA, 549 nt
Filed under: uncultured bacterium
Lineage: Bacteria
Description: partial 16S ribosomal RNA
Rfam family: Bacterial small subunit ribosomal RNA
Source: RNAcentral
UGGGGAAUUUUGGACAAUGGGCGCAAGCCUGAUCCAGCCAUGCCGCGUGCGGGAAGAAGGCCUUCGGGUUGUAAACCGCUUUUGUCAGGGAAGAAAUCUUCUGAGUUAAUACCUCGGGAGGAUGACGGUACCUGAAGAAUAAGCACCGGCUAACUACGUGCCAGCAGCCGCGGUAAUACGUAGGGUGCAAGCGUUAAUCGGAAUUACUGGGCGUAAAGCGUGCGCAGGCGGUUUUGUAAGACAGAGGUGAAAUCCCCGGGCUCAACCUGGGAACUGCCUUUGUGACUGCAAGGCUUGAGUGCGGCAGAGGGGGGCAUGGAAUUCCGCGUGUAGCAGUGAAAUGCGUAGAUAUGCGGAGGAACACCGAUGGCGAAGGCAAUCCCCUGGGCCUGCACUGACGCUCAUGCACGAAAGCGUGGGGAGCAAACAGGAUUAGAUACCCUGGUAGUCCACGCCCUAAACGAUGUCAACUGGUUGUUGGGAAGGUUCCUUCUCAGUAACGUAGCUAACGCGUGAAGUUGACCGCCUGGGGAGUACGGCCGCAAGGUU